RNAcentral lists this ribosomal RNA (569 nucleotides) under Chloroflexi bacterium HGW-Chloroflexi-5. RNAcentral describes it as "bacterial LSU rRNA". It matches the Rfam family "Bacterial large subunit ribosomal RNA", at positions 2358 to 2925 of the family's 2925-position model. Lineage: Bacteria; Bacillati; Chloroflexota. The record is from RNAcentral.
CAUAAGGGAGCUUGACUGCAAGACCAACGCGUCGAGCAGAGACGAAAGUCGGGCUUAGUGAUCCCACGGUACUGAGUGGAAGGGCCGUGGCUUACCGGACAAAAGCUACCCCGGGGAUAACAGGCUGGUGAAAUCCAAGAGUUCAUAUCGACGAUUUCGCUCGGCACCUCGAUGUCGGCUCAUCGCAUCCUGGGGCUGUAUCAGGUCCCAAGGGUCGGGCUGUUCGCCCGUUAAAGCGGUACGCGAGCUGGGUUCAGACCGUCGUGAGACAGGUCGGUCUCUAUCCACUGUGGGCGUAAGAGAUUUGAGUGGAGCUGCCCCUAGUACGAGAGGACCGGGGUGGACUGACCGAUGGUGUUUCAGUUGUCGUGCCAACGGCAUUGCUGAGUAGCUAAGUCAGGCAAAGAUAACCGCUGAAUGCAUCUAAGUGGGAAACUUGCCACAAGAUUAGAUCUCUGUUUUCCCGUAAGGGAGUAAGAUCACAGGUAGACUACCUGUUUGAUAGGCGGAGUGUGUAAGCGUAGCAAUGCGUUUAGCUUAUCCGUACUAAUGAUCGAGGGCUUCUUCAU